This 481-nucleotide ribosomal RNA is filed under the name uncultured bacterium. Its description in RNAcentral is "bacterial SSU rRNA". It matches the Rfam family "Bacterial small subunit ribosomal RNA", at positions 30 to 507 of the family's 1533-position model. The record is from RNAcentral.
AUUGAACGCUGGCGGCAUGCCUUACACAUGCAAGUCGAACGGCAGCACGGAGCAAUCCUGGUGGCGAGUGGCGAACGGGUGAGUAAUAUAUCGGAACGUACCCUAGAGUGGGGGAUAACGCAGCGAAAGUUGCGCUAAUACCGCAUACGAUCUACGGAUGAAAUGGGGGAUCGCAAGACCUCAUGCUCAUGGAGCGGCCGAUAUCUGAUUAGCUAGUUGGUGGGGUAAAGGCCUACCAAGGCUUCGAUCAGUAGCUGGUCUGAGAGGACGACCAGCCACACUGGAACUGAGACACGGUCCAGACUCCUACGGGAGGCAGCAGUGGGAAUUUUGGACAAUGGGCGAAAGCCUGAUCCAGCAAUGCCGCGUGAGUGAAGAAGGCCUUCGGGUUGUAAAGCUCUUUUGUCAGGGAAGAAACGGUGGACUCUAAUACAGAUCACUAAUGACGGUACCUGAAGAAUAAGCACCGGCUAACUACGUG